RNAcentral lists this transfer RNA (76 nucleotides) under Coriobacteriia bacterium. Its description in RNAcentral is "tRNA-Arg". It matches the Rfam family "tRNA". Rfam says of the family: Transfer RNA (tRNA) molecules are approximately 80 nucleotides in length. Their secondary structure includes four short double-helical elements and three loops (D, anti-codon, and T loops). Further hydrogen bonds mediate the characteristic L-shaped molecular structure. tRNAs have two regions of fundamental functional importance: the anti-codon, which is responsible for specific mRNA codon recognition, and the 3' end, to which the tRNAs corresponding amino acid is attached (by aminoacyl-tRNA synthetases). tRNAs cope with the degeneracy of the genetic code in two manners: having more than one tRNA (with a specific anti-codon) for a particular amino acid; and 'wobble' base-pairing, i.e. permitting non-standard base-pairing at the 3rd anti-codon position. The record is from RNAcentral. Lineage: Bacteria; Bacillati; Actinomycetota; Coriobacteriia.
GCGCCCGUAGCUCAACGGAUAGAGCAGUAGACUUCUAAUCUGAAGGUUGCAGGUUCGAUUCCUGCCAGGCGCGCCA